GGCAUAAGGCUGGCUUAGAAUUGAAAAGGUGUGUCUGACUCUAAAUUGGAUCCUCAUUCACAUCACCCAUGUGAAAGGCAUGAAUCACCAGAUUCCUGUCCAUAAGUGCUGCGCAGGUUCUCUACUACAAGGGCACUGGUGGAGACAGCAAAGCUGGGUUCUUCUUAUUCUGCAGCUGCUCUCAGCAGGGCUGUAUCUGUCCUGAGGUAGUAUAGUGCCUUUUCCAAGUCACACAGAGGUGUUCUGUGGACUCUCAGAAGCCCUGGAAUCUUGUUUUUUUGUGUUUUUAGUAGAGACAGGGUUUCACGGUGUUGGCCAGGGUGGUCUCAAUGUCUUGACCUCUUGAUCCUCCCACCUUGGCCUCCCAAACUGCUGGGAUUCCAGGCGUGAGCUACUGCACCUGACCUCCCAAGGUUAUUAUUAUUUUUUUUAAUUUAUGGAGACAGAAUCUCACUCUGUUGCCCAGGCCAGUCUCAAACUCUUGGCCUCAAACAAUCCUCCUGCCUCAGCCUCCCAAAGUGCUGGUGUUACAGGACAGAGAAAUAUGUUAUAGGAAAGGGGUCCUGAACCAGACCCUAAGAUAGAGUUCUUGGAUCUCCUGCAAGAAAGAAUUCAGGGAAAGUCCGCAGUGCAAAGUGAAAGCAAGUUUAUUAAGACAGUAAAGAAAUCAAAGAAUGGGGAGGCUCUGGGCGCCUCCCUGGGGGCCCGGUCCCUGGCACUGCUCUGGGGGCCUCGUGGCCAGCUCCUAGCCUCCCCACUCUCCCCGUCAUGAGGGGCCCAGGAGGCUGGCAGCGGGAGCCGUCACAUGCAGGACCUGCCCGGGCAUUGGGGUAUGGGAUCCCCUGGCCUGAAGCGGGCUCGUCCUGGCCGGCCUGGAUCCAAGCACAGUCUUAGCUUUUGGAGCCAGCGGCAGCCGGGCCGCAUUCAGUUUUUCCGGAAUUCAGUUGUUCUGACCCAAGUGUAGCCGACAGGAUCCUGGCAAUGCAGCCCAACAGGAAGCAAAGCACAGGGAAGCGGAAAUGAGAAACAGCAUCUUAACCCAAGUUCUGGAUCGGUAGGCCUGGGGCAGGUAGAGUAACUUAGCACCUGUAAAGCCUGAAAAAACUAAAGCAGUAGAGAAUUUAUUUUAUACAGAUGGCAAGAUAUGGACAACUGAGAAGGUGUCAGAACAAGGUUUAAUAGAAAUCCUUAAAAAAGUAAGCCAACAAACAGAAAAGACAACAACAGUGAAAUUCGACAGAAGAAAAGUAACGGACUCUGAUGAAGAUGACGAUUAUUGAACUACAAGUGCUCACAGACUAGAACUUAAUGGAACAAUUCUAGGACAGAAGUUAAGAUCUGAUUAAAUAUUUACUUGGUUUAUUGUCUAUAUGCCUUUUAAAAAAAUAAACUUUAUGCAAAAUAAAAAAAAAAA
Molecule: long non-coding RNA, 1414 nt
Filed under: Macaca fascicularis (crab-eating macaque)
Lineage: Eukaryota; Metazoa; Chordata; Mammalia; Primates; Cercopithecidae
Description: lncRNA (ENSMFAG00000053435.1)
Source: RNAcentral